GACGAACGCUGGCGGCGUGCUUAACACAUGCAAGUCGAACGGAAAGGCCCUGCUUUUGUGGGGUGCUCGAGUGGCGAACGGGUGAGUAACACGUGAGUAACCUGCCCUUGACUUUGGGAUAACUUCAGGAAACUGGGGCUAAUACCGGAUAGGAGCUCCUGCUGCAUGGUGGGGGUUGGAAAGUUUCGGCGGUUGGGGAUGGACUCGCGGCUUAUCAGCUUGUUGGUGGGGUAGUGGCUUACCAAGGCUUUGACGGGUAGCCGGCCUGAGAGGGUGACCGGCCACAUUGGGACUGAGCUACGGCCCAGACUCCUACGGGAGGCAGCAGUGGGGAAUAUUGCACACUGGGCGGAAGCCUGAUGCAGCAACGCCGCGUGCGGGAUGACGGCCUUCGGGUUGUAAACCGCUUUCGCCUGUGACGAAGCGUGAGUGACGGUAAUGGGUAAAGAAGCACCGGCUAACUACGUG
RNAcentral lists this ribosomal RNA (468 nucleotides) under uncultured bacterium. RNAcentral's name for it is "partial 16S ribosomal RNA". It matches the Rfam family "Bacterial small subunit ribosomal RNA", at positions 28 to 507 of the family's 1533-position model. The record is from RNAcentral.